Molecule: ribosomal RNA, 433 nt
Filed under: uncultured bacterium
Lineage: Bacteria
Description: partial 16S ribosomal RNA
Rfam family: Bacterial small subunit ribosomal RNA
Source: RNAcentral
AACGAACGCUGGCGGCAUGCCUAACACAUGCAAGUCGAACGAGACCUUCGGGUCUAGUGGCGCACGGGUGCGUAACGCGUGGGAAUCUGCCCUUGGGUUCGGAAUAACAGUUGGAAACGACUGCUAAUACCGGAUGAUGACGUAAGUCCAAAGAUUUAUCGCCCAGGGAUGGGCCCGCGUAGGAUUAGCUAGUUGGUGGGGUAAAGGCCUACCAAGGCGACGAUCCUUAGCUGGUCUGAGAGGAUGAUCAGCCACACUGGGACUGAGACACGGCCCAAACUCCUACGGGAGGCAGCAGUGGGGAAUAUUGGACAAUGGGCGAAAGCCUGAUCCAGCAAUGCCGCGUGAGUGAUGAAGGCCUUAGGGUUGUAAAGCUCUUUUACCCGGGAUGAUAAUGACAGUACCGGGAGAAUAAGCCCCGGCUAACUCCGUG